Molecule: non-coding RNA, 106 nt
Organism: Capsicum annuum
Lineage: Eukaryota; Viridiplantae; Streptophyta; Magnoliopsida; Solanales; Solanaceae
Source: Rfam
AUUUCAUGGUUAGGGCAUUUUAAAAGCUUCUCCUUAAAUCUCCCCCAAGCUUCAUACCACGACUCCCCAUGGAAUUAAUAAAAAUUAAUGAUUUUAUCCCACAAUU